This 253-nucleotide ribosomal RNA is filed under the name uncultured bacterium. Its description in RNAcentral is "partial 16S ribosomal RNA". It matches the Rfam family "Bacterial small subunit ribosomal RNA", at positions 524 to 776 of the family's 1533-position model. The record is from RNAcentral.
UACGGGGGGGGCAAGCGUUGUUCGGAAUUACUGGGCGUAAAGGGCUCGUAGGCGGCCAACUAAGUCAGACGUGAAAUCCCCAGGCUCAACCUGGGAACUGCGUCUGAUACUGGAUGGCUUGAAUCCGGGAGAGGGAUGCAGAAUUCCAGGUGUAGCGGUGAAAUUCGUAGAUAUUCGCAAGAACACCAGUGGCGAAGGCGGCCGACUGGUCCGGUUCUGACGCUGAGGCGCGAAAGCGUGGGGAGCAAACAGG